UUUUUGCUUUUUAGGGCUGCACUCAUGGCAUGUGGAGAUUCCCAGGCUAGGGGUAGCAUAGGAGCUGCAGCUGCUGGACCAAGCCACAGCCACGCAAGAUCUGAGCUGCGUCUGCGACCUACGCCAUAGCUCAUGGCAACGCCAGAUCCUUAACCCACUGAGUGAGGCCAGGGAUCAAACCCACAACCUCAUGGUUCCUAGUUGGAUUCAUUUCCCUUGGGCCACGACGGGAACUCCCAAAUAUAAAACUUGAUUACAACACUUACGUUUUUUCUCCUCCGAGGUACAUUUGUAUUAUUCUUUCAUUCUGUUAUUUAUCUAUAUUUUAUUAUUUUAUUGAUUCCAAACCGGUUUGAGCCGUUGGUAGAAAUAUAGAUACAAGAAGUGAAAAAUCAUCUUUUUGAUUCUUGGUCUUCUUUAUGAACAUUUUAGUAGUUCUUUUAGCAGCUGAUUUGAUUUUAUAUUAGUUUUGACAUCUCAAACCAGCCGCUAAUAGGAUUAUUAAAAUGUUCGUGAAGAAGGCAGGACCCAAAAAAGGGUGAUUCCUUUUCUUCUUGUAUCUUUCAACCAAAGACUCAAGCCAGUUUGGAAUUAAUAAAAUAAUAGCCUGUUUGUGAUGUCUUCUUUUUUUUUAUACUUAAAAAUACGUCAGGAGACUAGACUGGAAACCUUUGAGUAUCCUGAUGCUGUAGAAUAGCAUAUCCAGUAACACUUGUUAAAGUGAAAAUUACAUCGGACAAAGUUAAACCUGCAGUGAAGACUUUGUUCAUGACCACUGCCACAGGAGACACCAGAACUGAGUCUGAGCUCUGCAAGAGUGAAAAAGUGUUUGUUAUUAAGAUGUGGAGUGGGAGUGAAGGUCCUAGGCCAUCUGUUUGUUGAUCUUGGCUUUACCCGAAAGAAGAGCAAUCUCGAUAACAGAAGGUAAUUUUGUAACCAGACCAAGGUGCCCAGCAAAGUUAGGCUGCUAGACUGGCACAGCAGUUGGAGAGUAGAGGUACUGUCUUCCUUGGUGUUUGCAUUUCAAAGAGAUGACUUCCAGUCCGGAGAAAGACAGUUCUGAUGUGUACAACUGGCAAGGGGCUUUUAAAAAUUUUUAUGUCUUAAAGGGGAGGAAAAAGAAUGGACCCAUUUUCUAAAGUAAGUGCUCUAAGAAAAGGGUAGACAGGGCCUAGAGUCCGGAAGAAGCCCGUCUAAAGUUUAGACAAGUUGAGGGAGAUAUCAAGGCCUUCUUAACUUCGUUAAGUUGGAAACAAUCAAGGAGAUUCUAUUAUGACUGGUUUUCUCCUCAACAAAAACACAAGUCUAAAUCUAGGUCCUUUGUCUAUGACACUGCCACAGAGUUGGCAGUUCAGAUCAUCUGCUUUCUUCACAUUUCAGUAUCAUUCGAUGAUGGUACCACAAUGAAAGAUAUUUAACAGGCAUUCUGUAAAUAUUUCGCCUUUCUUUUGAUGAAAGGGGAAGUGUUCCGUAACUAUAUGAGAAAAGAUUUCAGUAGUUUGCAAUCCAACAUGACUAGCUCCUCAUAUAAUAAUAAACUGUCAAAAAUAAAUUUCUCACUCAAGCUGAAAGCAAAUAAAAGACAGCAAGAAACAGUAGCUGCAGGAAUGAAACUUUAUUUAUUAUUUCACUGAAUGAUCACUUCAGGAAGCAAUAUGGGCUUAUAGUGAUUCCUCUGGUAUUUGGGUGGUUUUGAUUUGUAGGAAGUCAUUGUGAAAAUGGAAAUCCUUUGGGAACUGAAAUGAUAUCAAACUUGAUGCCUAUUUUCAUCAUUAUUUAUAAAUUUCUGUUGGCAAAAAUGAUAGUAGAGUUAUUAAACAGAGACCAGAUGUGAAUAUUUUGGAAGAAAAAGCAUUUUUCCAUAAUUCAUCAUUGUUUAAUUUUUACUUUGGAGAAAUUUCAGAGGCUUUUCAGAGAGACUAAUAGUUUUUAAUGGAGAGAAGGAGAUUUUGGAGGCUGAAUUUAAAUAGAGUGUAAUUAUUAAGGCCGUUUUCCUUCUAAAUAACCGGUUCAAUUUAGUGAAGCCAUAGUUUGAUCUAGGUCAGAACUUUUUCUUUCAUGUAAUUACUUUGUGUAUCCCUAAGAGACAUCAUAUGGAAAACCGAUGAAACGUAUUUACCUCAGAUGACAAUGCUAAAUUUCUUAGGCAAAAUUCAGGAAUCAGAUUUUACAUGACAUGGAGUUAGUUAUACUCCUGUCUACAAAGAGGGGGGGCUGUCAUAAUACAAAGUGCGUAAAUAUUCUGCAUCAUUUUUCCUGUCCUAGGAAUGUUUAUUUUAGGUUUUUUUAUCUCACGUUCUCUCCCAUCUAAGUGUAGGAUUCCACUCAGCUUCAUGGGCAAUAAAGAAGUAAGUAAUAGUAGAUUACUGCACAAUGUCUAUUCCUUGGUUGGUUGAAACAGGGCCUUCCCUCAAACUUCUGGCUGUUUCACUCUGUGUAAGUGAUUGGACACUUCAGUCUUCACCAAACAAAAUGACAACAUGUCUUCUGAUGAUUAAUCAUUAGGCCCUUAACAAACAUCAGAGAAAGCCUCUGAGACAUUUAUCUCUAGGAGCUCCUGACCUUGGCUCUAAUGUUAUAUUAAUGUAAUAGUCCUCAUGUUCUUACUAUUUUAAUAGUUUCCAUCUGCUUUUUACAUAGUGAGGCUGUUUCCUUCUCAUCCUUCCUGACCCCCACCCUUUUUGCUCGUUCCCUUUGGUUUCUACUUCAUAGGUUUUCUGUGGCAGAAGGUGGGUGGGCCAACAAAUGGAGCACUUGCCCCAGUUUAUUCAGAGUUGCUUCUAAAUCUAGGAGUGUGGUUCUUUCCAAAGUUAGCAGCUUCAAAAUUCAAAAUAGGUCAUUCGUUAUAUGAAAGCUGCUGAACAAUACUUUAGUCUGUGGCCUUGCUCUGACAACCUAUGUCCCUGGGGUCACCCUAUCUUCCCAUCUAUUAUUUCCUUCUUUGAGUCACAAUUCAGGCCCACUUUAGUAUUUCUGAGGUUAACACAAAUCUCUCAAAGACUAGCCACCCCAAAAUUCCUUAAUAGCAAAUUGUGUAAUUGACUUCUUAAUAGUAGUUUCAGUGCUAUCUCAAUGAAAAAGUGAUCAUUUCAUUGAGAAAAUAAUAUGAGGAGGAAUAGAAUCUAUGAAAAUCAGCCAAUGGUCAAUAAUAAUUUAGGAAACACUUUUUUUAAUCUCUAAUUUUUCAUGUAAUACAACCACAAUAAAAUGAGGGAGAGGAAGCACAAAGCUGUAUACGUAUAUCAUAAAUUCUUUGUCUUAAAUUUACCUCCUAGAAAGCAAUCUUAAUAUACACUUCUUUUAUUUUAUUUAUUUUUAUUUUUGUCUUUUCUAUGGCCGCUCCUGCAGCACAUGGAGGUUCCCGGCUAGGGGUCCAAUUGGAGCUGUACCCACCAGCCUAUGCCAGAGCCACAGCAACACAGGAUCCAAGCUGGGUCUGUGACCUACACCACAGCUCAUGGCAACGCCGGAUCCUUAACCCACUGAGCAAGGCCGGGAUAGAAUCUGCAACCUCAUGGUUCCUAGUCGGAUUCGAUAUACACUUUUUAAAAAGACCUCUUAUGAGUUCUCUGGUGACUCAGUAGCUUAAGGAUCCAGCAUUGUCACUGCUUUGGCUUGAGUUACUGCUGUGGCAUGGGUUCGAUUCUGGCACGGGAACUUCCACAUGCUGUGGGAUUAGCCGGGAAGGAAAAAGACUUCUUCAUUUAUAUUUAUUCAAGGUGAUGGCUGAAUUCAAGGAAGCCAGCAUAAUAUGUGACAUUGUGUGCUACCUAUUGACAUGUGUGUUGUACUAUUUUGUUUAUGUUUUUGUCUUUUUGUAAAGGAGAAGUAGAUAUAGAGCCCGGUAAAAAGAUGAAAAUGUUUUCUGAGAUUUCUGUGAUACUUAGGGUCAGAUACCCAGCUCUACUUUGUUUUCAGACGGUGCCUAGCUGAGCAUGUAAAUGACCUACCUGGUUAUAACCAAAGCUUCCAGGAGAAGCAUGCUUUCUCUGUUCCAUUGCUAUAUUAAAGGAAGCUCCAUGGCAGUCCUAGUUCUUGCCUAGUAGUUUGAAAUGGCCUUAGGUUCAGAAACAAAGGCAAAGGGGUUUGAUCCGGCAGUAUGAGGACAUCAAAUGAGGGAGUAUCAUGCUGAAGAGAGGAGAGAGAAAGAAGUAAGGAUAUCUUUCCUCUAUAUCUUCCAAACUUGGGCUCAAAAGUUGUGCCCUAUAAUUGUGUGGAUUUGGCUCACUGAAGCUGGAAUUCAUUCAGCUGCAGGGCAGAGCUUGACUGUGAUUGCAUAAAACAUCACAGGGUCAGGCAAUAAUCCUUGACACAGUGUAGGAAAAAAAUUGGGAAGCAGUCAUGACAAGAGACAAUGUGGGCAUUGGGCAAGUGGAAAAGUUCCACAUUCCAAAGGUCAACAUGUAAGGUCCAUGUAAUCACAGCUUUCAUUUACCCGAGUUUUUCCAUCAGUUCCCUACAUGAUUAUCAAGUAUCUUCUGUGUGUUCUAGUUGGAAUAUAAAAGACAUGUUUAUCUAAAGAUAUUAUUUUGUGGUUGAAAAGGCAAGGACUGUGUUCAAUAAAUCAAUGGAAAAUAUAAAAAAAUUAGACAGCGAGUAUUAGGUAGUGGUAUAAAGUC
RNAcentral lists this long non-coding RNA (4619 nucleotides) under Sus scrofa (pig). RNAcentral describes it as "lncRNA (ENSSSCG00000058283.1)". Lineage: Eukaryota; Metazoa; Chordata; Mammalia; Artiodactyla; Suidae. The record is from RNAcentral.